RNAcentral lists this unclassified non-coding RNA (344 nucleotides) under soil metagenome. RNAcentral's name for it is "partial contains 5.8S ribosomal RNA, internal transcribed spacer 2, and large subunit ribosomal RNA". The stretch from base 1 to 121 matches the Rfam family "5.8S ribosomal RNA", at positions 35 to 154 of the family's 154-position model. The record is from RNAcentral.
GAUGAAGAACGCAGCGAAAUGCGAUAAGUAAUGCGAAUUGCAGAAUUUCCGUGAGUCAUCGAAUCUUUGAACGCACAUUGCGCCCACUGGUAUUCCGGUGGGCAUGCCUGUCCGAGCGUCAUUACUAUCUUCAAGCACAGCUUGGUUGUUGAGCCCAAUUGUCCUCUAAUGGACAGGCUUGAAAUGCAGCGGCGAUGCCAUGUUUGGUGCCCGAGUGUAUGGGGCUUUGUCACACACUUUUGUGGCCCAGCUGGCGUUGUCUUUUAAAGUACUUAAUAACUAAGAUUUGACCUCGGAUCAGGUAGGGAUACCCGCUGAACUUAAGCAUAUCAAUAAGCGGAGGA